CUAUGGCUCAAUGGUACAGCAUCUGCUUUGCAUGCAGGAGCUCCCAGGUUCAACCCCUGUAGGGCUGUGAAAGA
This is a non-coding RNA of Podarcis lilfordi (Lilford's wall lizard), 74 nucleotides long. The record is from the annotation of a GenBank genome assembly. Lineage: Eukaryota; Metazoa; Chordata; Lepidosauria; Squamata; Lacertidae.